This 1000-nucleotide ribosomal RNA is filed under the name uncultured Mycoplasma sp. RNAcentral describes it as "bacterial SSU rRNA". It matches the Rfam family "Bacterial small subunit ribosomal RNA", at positions 448 to 1455 of the family's 1533-position model. The record is from RNAcentral. Lineage: Bacteria; Bacillati; Mycoplasmatota; Mollicutes; Mycoplasmatales; Mycoplasmataceae.
AACACUACAUUGAGGAAAUGCUUUGUAGCUGACGGUACCUUAUCAGAAAGCGAUGGCUAACUAUGCGCCAGCAGCCGCGGUAAUACAUAGGUCGCAAGCGUUAUCCGGAAUUAUUGGGCGUAAAGCGUUCGUAGGCUGUUUAUUAAGUCUGGAGUCAAAUCCCAGGGCUCAACCUUGGCUCGCUUUGGAUACUGGUAAACUAGAGUUAGAUAGAGGUAAGCGGAAUUCCAUGUGAAGCGGUGAAAUGCGUAGAUAUAUGGAAGAACACCAAAGGCGAAGGCAGCUUACUGGGUCUAUACUGACGCUGAGGGACGAAAGCGUGGGGAGCAAACAGGAUUAGAUACCCUGGUAGUCCACGCCGUAAACGAUGAUCAUUAGUCGGUGGGUUAUUCACUGACGCAGCUAACGCAUUAAAUGAUCCGCCUGAGUAGUAUGCUCGCAAGAGUGAAACUUAAAGGAAUUGACGGGGACCCGCACAAGCGGUGGAGCAUGUGGUUUAAUUUGAAGAUACACGGAGAACCUUACCCACUCUUGACAUCUUCCGCAAAGCUAUAGAGAUAUAGUGGAGGUUAACGGAAUGACAGAUGGUGCAUGGUUGUCGUCAGCUCGUGUCGUGAGAUGUUUGGUCAAGUCCUGCAACGAGCGCAACCCCUAUCUUCAGUUACUAACGAGUUAUGUCGAGGACUCUGGAGAUACUGCCUGGGUAACUGGGAGGAAGGUGGGGAUGACGUCAAAUCAUCAUGCCUCUUACGAGUGGGGCAACACACGUGCUACAAUGGUCGGUACAAAGAGAAGCAAUAUGGCGACAUGGAGCAAAUCUCAAAAAGCCGAUCUCAGUUCGGAUUGAAGUCUGCAACUCGACUUCAUGAAGUCGGAAUCGCUAGUAAUCGCAGAUCAGCUAUGCUGCGGUGAAUACGUUCUCGGGUCUUGUACACACCGCCCGUCACACCAUGGGAGCUGGUAAUACCCAAAGUCGGUUUGCUAACCUCGGAGGCGACUG